RNAcentral lists this ribosomal RNA (512 nucleotides) under uncultured bacterium. RNAcentral describes it as "partial 16S ribosomal RNA". It matches the Rfam family "Bacterial small subunit ribosomal RNA", at positions 28 to 523 of the family's 1533-position model. The record is from RNAcentral.
GACGAACGCUGGUGGCGUGCCUAAUACAUGCAAGUCGAGCGGACCAAUAGAAGCUUGCUUCUGUUGGUUAGCGGCGGGCGGGUGAGUAACACGUGGGCAACCUGCCUGUAAGACUGGGAUAACUUCGGGAAACCGGAGCUAAUACCGGAUAAUUCAUCCCCUCGCAUGAGGGGAUGCUGAAAGUCGGUUCACGCUGACACUUACAGAUGGGCCCGCGGCGCAUUAGCUAGUUGGUGAGGUAAUGGCUCACCAAGGCGACGAUGCGUAGCCGACCUGGGAGGGUGAUCGGCCAAACCGGACCGGAACCACGGCCCAGACUCCUACGGGGGGCGGCAGUAGGGAAUCUUCCAAAAUGGGUGAAAGACUGAUAGGGCAACGCCGGGGGAGUGAGGAAGGCCUUCGGGUCGUAAAGCUCGGUUGUUAGGAAAGAACAGGUAUCGGACAAAGCGCCGGUACCUUGACGGUACCUGACCAGAAAGCCACGGCUAACUACGUGCCAGCCGCCGCCGUAA